RNAcentral lists this long non-coding RNA (711 nucleotides) under Salmo salar (Atlantic salmon). RNAcentral's name for it is "lncRNA (ENSSSAG00000096045.1)". Lineage: Eukaryota; Metazoa; Chordata; Actinopteri; Salmoniformes; Salmonidae. The record is from RNAcentral.
AGAUACCAUAGUGAGAAAGGAUUCAUUUCGCAACACCUACGGCUUCCACUAGAUGUCAACGAUCUUUAUAAAGUUGUUUGAAGCGUCUAUGAUAAACAGAGAGAAAAUUAGAAUCCAAGGAAGUUGACAUGUCAUCACUUCAUUUUUUUGCGCCUGCGCAUAAAUCUGAGAGACAAACCACAUUUGUUCCGGACCUGGAAUGCCUUCCGGACCUGGGAUCCUGCCUUCUGAUGGAGAUAAUCAAAGAGUGCGAGCUGAUCAAGGGGUCAAAUGUAGAUAUUGCCAGAUGUUCACUGUCCAAGGAACAGGCCAUAGAAGCUUUAUUGCUGGCAAAAGUGUCCAUAACCAGAGGCAACAGCUCUACAAGGCAUUGAGGGGAAAAAUCAACACAACAAAAAGAGCGGUGAGCAAAGGCCUUCUCUCCUUCCACUUCUUUCCAGAUGCCGCUGUGCCGGAGUAUCCAAAGUCACAGGUAAUUACCUUAUCACCUGGCUUGACAGUCCUGAGGGUGCUGAGCCACAGAGUGUGAGCAUCAACCACACACUGAGAGCACUCACCCCUGCUCAGAACUGGCAAAGGACAUUCAAAAGCUGAAAACACUUUUAAGUACACACUCGGUGUAUAACCCCACCCCCCCCCACACACACACACAGGAGAAAAAACUAUUUUUAAAACUUGUUUAUGAUGGAGCUGAGAGAGCUACAGUUGCAG